UACGUAGGGGGCAAGCGUUGUCCGGAAUGACUGGGCGUAAAGCGCGCGCAGGCGGUCUUUUAAGUCUGAGGUGAAAGGCUGGGGCUCAACCCUGGCAUCGCCUUGGAAACGGGAAGACUUGAGGACUGGAGAGGCAAGGGGAAUUCCACGUGUAGCGGUGAAGUGCGUAGAGAUGUGGAGGAAUACCAGUGGCGAAGGCGCCUUGCUGGACAGUGCCUGACGCUGAGGCGCGAAGGCGUGGGGAGCAAACAGGAUUAGAUACCCUGGUAGUCCACGCGGUAAACGAUGAGUGCUAGGUGUCGGAGGGUACCACCUCCGGUGCCGAAGGAAACCCAAUAAGCACUCCGCCUGGGGAGUACGGUCGCAAGACUGAAACUCAAAGGAAUUGACGGGGGCCCGCACAAGCAGUGGAGCAUGUGGUUUAAUUCGAAGCAACGCGAAGAACCUUACCAGGACUUGACAUCCCCCUGACGGGAGUAGAGAUAUUCCGUCCCUUCGGGGCAGGGGAGACAGGUGGUGCAUGGUUGUCGUCAGCUCGUGUCGUGAGAUGUUGGGUUAAGUCCCGCAACGAGCGCAACCCUUGAUCAGUGUUACCAGCACGUAAAGGUGGGGACUCACUGAUGACUGCCGGUGAUAAACCGGAGGAAGGCGGGGAUGACGUCAAAUCAUCAUGCCCCUUAUGUCCUGGGCCACACACGUGCUACAAUGGGCGGUACAACGGGAAGCAAGAGAGCGAUCUGGAGCGAAACCCUAAAAGCCGUUCGUAGUUCGGAUUGCAGGCUGCAACCCGCCUGCAUGAAGCCGGAAUUGCUAGUAAUCGCGGAUCAGCAUGCCGCGGUGAAUCCGUUCCCGGGCCU
This 857-nucleotide ribosomal RNA is filed under the name uncultured bacterium. RNAcentral's name for it is "bacterial SSU rRNA". It matches the Rfam family "Bacterial small subunit ribosomal RNA", at positions 524 to 1381 of the family's 1533-position model. The record is from RNAcentral.